Felis catus (domestic cat) is the source of this 512-nucleotide long non-coding RNA. RefSeq lists it as uncharacterized. The record is from RefSeq and is a predicted model, not a curated record. The transcript has 3 exons. NCBI's taxonomy places the organism in Eukaryota, Metazoa, Chordata, Mammalia, Carnivora, Felidae.
AAGAAACAUUCCUUUACUUUGUCUCACCUACUCUUAUUUUAUCCUGGGUUAUAAUGAGGUCCAAUUGUCUUCCCGAAAGGUUAUUUGUUUAAGAGAGAUACUCUAACUCAAUUAUCUGGGAAUAAAAGGAACAAAAGAAAGCCAUUAUGCAAAUGUCAGCAAAUCUGGAGUUUCCAAACCAAUUUAUAAUUAAUAUCAAGCUUCUCCUCGUAUGCCAUUAAUAUUAUAACCUCUGAAAGGAGAGAUGAUCAUUCAUUGGCCUAAAAGGAUGUUUUAAGAAAUCUUGCCUGUGGUUCUCAAAAGUUGACAUCAGGAGACUAUAGUACACGGUCUUUGUUGUCCUUGAAUACAGAAAAAAACAAAGAAUGACUGUGUAUAUGAGCACCAUUGAAGGGAGACAGGGUUCUACUCAGGGAAUGCAUCCACUUCUUCUGAAAAUACCGAAUUAUGGUCUCUCUCCCUCCCGUGGAUUCAAAAGAUGGGAAAACGAUGGAGAGCAAUGAUCUACCAUG